GACGAACGCUGGCGGCGUGCUUAACACAUGCAAGUCGAACGGAAAGGCCCUGCUUUUGUGGGGUGCUCGAGUGGCGAACGGGUGAGUAACACGUGAGUAACCUGCCCUUGACUUUGGGAUAACUUCAGGAAACUGGGGCUAAUACCGGAUAGGAGCUCCUGCUGCAUGGUGGGGGUUGGAAAGUUUCGGCGGUUGGGGAUGGACUCGCGGCUUAUCAGCUUGUUGGUGGGGUAGUGGCUUACCAAGGCUUUGACGGGUAGCCGGCCUGAGAGGGUGACCGGCCACAAUGGGACUGAGAUACGGCCCAGACUCCUACGGGAGGCAGCAGUGGGGAAUAUUGCACAAUGGGCGGAAGCCUGAUGCAGCAACGCCGCGUGCGGGAUGACGGCCUUCGGGUUGUAAACCGCUUUCGCCUGUGACGAGGCGUGAGUGACGGUAAUGGGUAAAGAAGCACCGGCUAACUACGUG
This 468-nucleotide ribosomal RNA is filed under the name uncultured bacterium. RNAcentral describes it as "partial 16S ribosomal RNA". It matches the Rfam family "Bacterial small subunit ribosomal RNA", at positions 28 to 507 of the family's 1533-position model. The record is from RNAcentral.